UACGUAGGUGGCAAGCGUUGUCCGGAUUUACUGGGCGUAAAGAGCGCGCAGGCGGUCGUUCAAGUCGCGUGUGAAAGCCCCCGGCUCAACUGGGGAGGGUCACGCGAUACUGAUCGACUCGAAGGCAGGAGAGGGAAGUGGAAUUCCCGGUGUAGUGGUGAAAUGCGUAGAUAUCAGGAGGAACACCAAUUGCGAAGGCAGCUCGCUGGGACGUUACUGACGCUGAGACGCGAAAGCGUGGGGAGCAAACAGG
This 253-nucleotide ribosomal RNA is filed under the name uncultured bacterium. RNAcentral's name for it is "partial 16S ribosomal RNA". It matches the Rfam family "Bacterial small subunit ribosomal RNA", at positions 524 to 776 of the family's 1533-position model. The record is from RNAcentral.